UGGGGAAUAUUGGACAAUGGGCGAAAGCCUGAUCCAGCCAUGCCGCGUGUGUGAAGAAGGUCUUCGGAUUGUAAAGCACUUUAAGUUGGGAGGAAGGGCAGUAAGCGAAUACCUUGCUGUUUUGACGUUACCGACAGAAUAAGCACCGGCUAACUCUGUGCCAGCAGCCGCGGUAAUACAGAGGGUGCAAGCGUUAAUCGGAAUUACUGGGCGUAAAGCGCGCGUAGGUGGUUCGUUAAGUUGAAUGUGAAAGCCCCGGGCUCAACCUGGGAACUGCAUCCAAGACUGGCGAGCUAGAGUAGGGCAGAGGGUGGUGGAAUUUCCUGUGUAGCGGAGAAAUGCGUAGAUAUAGGAAGGAACACCAGUGGCGAAGGCGACCACCUGGGCUCAUACUGACACUGAGGUGCGAAAGCGUGGGGAGCAAACAGG
This 429-nucleotide ribosomal RNA is filed under the name Pseudomonadota bacterium. RNAcentral's name for it is "Proteobacteria bacterium partial 16S ribosomal RNA". It matches the Rfam family "Bacterial small subunit ribosomal RNA", at positions 355 to 776 of the family's 1533-position model. Lineage: Bacteria; Pseudomonadati; Pseudomonadota. The record is from RNAcentral.